Long non-coding RNA from Helianthus annuus (common sunflower), 259 nucleotides. RefSeq lists it as uncharacterized. Lineage: Eukaryota; Viridiplantae; Streptophyta; Magnoliopsida; Asterales; Asteraceae. The record is from RefSeq and is a predicted model, not a curated record. The transcript is spliced from 3 exons.
UCCUUAUUUUGAUUGUCACAGUUUUCUAUUUGCAAUUGAGGUUUUGUUUUGAUCAAAGUUGGGUUAUGCAGGUAAAUGGGGGAUAUCUACAAAUUUUGAUGGUACACGGCUUUUCAUUAACGACAAUUUUGAUCAGAUGCUGACAUUCAAGGAAAAAAUCUUAAUACAAUGUUGGGUCGAAGAUGCUGGAGAAUGAACUUAAGCGUAUUUUGGAUGCCGUUUAUGAUGUGGAUUUAUGUUCUUCUCAGUCUUCCACUAA